UCUGACCUCAAAUCAGGUAGGAUUACCCGCUGAACUUAAGCAUAUCAAUAAGCGGAGGAAAA
This 62-nucleotide ribosomal RNA is filed under the name Amanita sp. 'penetratrix'. RNAcentral describes it as "partial 28S ribosomal RNA". It matches the Rfam family "Eukaryotic large subunit ribosomal RNA", at positions 1 to 60 of the family's 3401-position model. The record is from RNAcentral. Lineage: Eukaryota; Fungi; Basidiomycota; Agaricomycetes; Agaricales; Amanitaceae.